Molecule: long non-coding RNA, 1047 nt
Filed under: Cairina moschata (Muscovy duck)
Lineage: Eukaryota; Metazoa; Chordata; Aves; Anseriformes; Anatidae
Description: domestica (muscovy Duck (domestic type)) lncRNA (ENSCMMG00000007262.1)
Source: RNAcentral
UGCCCCCCCCCCGGCCCGUCUGACCCCGGGGGGGGGGCGGGGGGGAAGCACGGAGCCCCCCGGGCGUUGUGGGGGGGCUGCGGGGGUCCGGGGGGGCCGCUCCCGGUGCCCCCGGCCCGGCCGCGCUCGGCGGGCGCUGCCCGCACGUGGCCUCCGCGCCCCACGUGCACUGGGGGGGUAGGGCCCGGCGGGCUCCCCCCGGGAGGGGCGGGCGGGGGCAGCUCCGUGCGGACCCCCCCUGGACCGGGCUCUCCCCGGUGCCUCCGGUCUUUUGUUAAGGGAUCGACCCCCCCUCACCCCCCCGGACCCCUCUUACCGGGGGGGGCAGCGGGGCCGGGCCGGGCGCGCUCCCGGGGCUGGGCAGCACCGGGCCGGGCCCUGCCGCCGCUCCCCCCUCCCCGGCCCGGGACCCCCCGGGGUCAGCCCCCCGAUCCCGGUCCCCCCCCUACCCUCCCCCCCAGGCUCGGUUUUAAAGGUUUAUUUUUGCUGCAUCACCCCCGCGGCUCGCUGCCCCCCCCGGGAGCUGCCGGCUGCUGCCCGUGCCCCCGGGACCGGUGGCGCUGGGGGGCUCCGGGGGCACCGUGCCCCCCCCCCGGGCUCCUCGGGGCGCCCUGGGCUCGGGGACAUCGCUCAGGGCUUGGAGCCCUCCCGUUGGCCCCGUUCUGCUGCCCCGAACAUCGGGACCGGGGGGCAGAGCCCCCCCGUGGGACCGGAGCCACUCCCCCAGUGCCGCGGCACGCGGCCUUUAACACCGGCCACCGGUUUGGCACGUGGAGCGGCCCCCCCGGUGGCAGCUCGGCCCCGGUGUUUGUUUUAGCGGAGCCGGGGCAAAAACAUUCCCUGGCUGGCAGCACCACGGGGCUGCGAGGGGCUCGCGGCCCUACACGAGGCACCGGGGAAGGACGGAGCGUGGUUACGGGGUGCUCCGUGCUCACUGCUGCCCGGUUUUGUCCUGGUGCUGUGAGGAGCCCGGCUCUCCGCUCCUCUCCCCCCGGUGUUUGCCUUAACGCUGUCGUUUUUCCCCCCCUGUGUCCUGCCUUCCCCUAA